AAUGAUACAGGUUAAUAAUAUUUUAUCCUUCAUCUCUUUUGCCCACAGAAAUAAUAAUAUAUAUAAAUAAAUAUAUUCGACUGGACACAAAGUGAGAAUAAUAAUAAAUGUAUUUUGAGAUUUAUUUGAGUACUUUGAAUCUCCAAAUAAAAAAAACUUUUUAUAUUCGCUUCUUUUCACGUCACGUUCAGGGAUCGUGCGCAACUUUGCAGCGUUCGUGUUCUAAAAAAGCUCGAGUCUCUCUGUUCAUCGGUGUGUUGUUAUUUUAAUUGUUCCUCUUCUCACCGGGGGUUUCAUUACCAUCAGCACCGAGCGUCGUGAAAGCUGCCAGUGCCUCAGAGUGGUUCAUCCCCGCGGUGUUGACGAGCUCUGCGCCUCACUCGAAAGGGAAAGGAAACAGCGACUUCUCCAUUCCUGGCGUCGUCUGUAGCUAACGAGCGUCUGAACCUCCGAGGCGAGCAGCGGCUUCUCUCCGGCUUCACACAGGGACCCUCGCCCCGCUCUUCGGACUCCCUCUCCCGCAGAGCACCGCUGUCCGCCGCGAGCACUUCGCUGUGAAACCCCCAGGCGCCAGAUUUAUCGAGCCCGACUGCACGAAGUUGAUAGGCAAGCUAGCUAGCUAGCCACCUAGCUAAGUCUCAGCUAGCUUGCAGUGCUGGUCGGGGGGGAGCAGCUUUUAUUCUUUUUUUUUUUUUUUUUUUUUUUUUUUUUUUUGUUCUGUUUGUUUUUGUAUUUUCUUUGUAAAGUCCUUUUUCGACAGGGGGGGCGUCGUUUUUUUUCUUCAUCGUCCUACGACCGGCCGUGGCUGUUUCACCCGGGAUUCUGAAGCGUAUUUGCGGUGUAGUUCAGAGCGGUAAGCCGGUUGGUUGUUGCUAGCGUGCUUGAUUUAGCCUGCUAGCUAAUACCCUGCGUAUUUAGCCUGGAAGCCAGUUCAAGGCCUCAGUCCAGCGCCACCAGCAGCUGCUACCGCCGCCAAACUCUUUGCAUCGCCCCGCAGUGAGAAGUGACAGCUUACUUGGUGACGCAGAGACUUCUCCCUGAGGAGCCAAGAAGCAGACGGCUCAUGACUUCUGACCAGGACACGAAAGUUGUAGCUGAACCACAGGUGCAGCAAGUGCAAGAGGCAAAAGAGAACUCCCAUUUGGAAUCCGCCAAGGUUUCAGACCUCAACCCCAAUGCGAAAGCAUGGGCCAACCACAUGUUUAGCCUGGACCCAAGCGGGAGUGCUGACACCACAACUGCUGCCCUGCAGCCAUGGAAGGAAGGCUGCGAUAGUUUGGCUGACCCCGGCCCAGAAGGUCAGCCAAUUGUUCGGGAUACAAAAUGUAAUGACCUCAUCUUUUCUCUGUUUAUGGCCUUGAUAGUAAAUGCAAUGAAAUAAUAAUCAAUGUCAUACGUUUUAAAUUCUAUUCAAUUUCAGUUUUAUUUAUAUAGCACCUACUCACAACAUACAUUAUCGCAAGGCAGUAAGAGAACUCCAGCAGUGCGUCGUUCACAACACAUGUAACUCAAACAUACAAGUGACGUUCUCCAUCUUUUCCUAUGUUCAAAAAACAAUAAAUUAGUGAAGACGAG
This is a non-coding RNA of Paralichthys olivaceus (Japanese flounder), 1575 nucleotides long. The record is from RefSeq and is a predicted model, not a curated record. Lineage: Eukaryota; Metazoa; Chordata; Actinopteri; Pleuronectiformes; Paralichthyidae.